UUCCACCCUUUUUUGAGUUUAAAUAUAGUGCGAUUAUUUAUUAUACUUUAUCUUAAAGAAUAAGAGGGGGGUUGCUCUGAUGGUAAACAACCUUCACUUCCAGCCGAGAGGUUGUGAGUUCGAGUCUCCCCAAGGGCAAGGUAGGAAUUUCUUGGAGGGAAGGAUGCCGGUGGUCUAUUUGAAAACAGCCUCUCUACCCAAGGGUAGAUGUAAGAUAUCAUACACACUACCCUCCUCAGACCCUACUAAAUAAGAUUAUAUUGGAUUGGUCUUAUUGUUGUUAUUGUAUAUCUUAAAGAAUAAAUAUAUUAUUAAAAUAUAGUACGGUAAAUAACUGUAUCAUAUAAGAUGCUCAUUUUAUUUUAUUUGUAUCGUUUGAGUCCAAAAGAAUUACACCUUAAAUCUGGACACACCAAAGAAAGAGGGAUAGUAGGGCGUACGGUAAUACACUGAAAUCGGGUGGGUGUUAGUGUGGGGACUGAAUGCUAAUCAGAACUCCGACAAUUUUUUAUCUCAAUGAAUGACCCGUCAUUUUCUCUCCAUCGUAUUAUAAUUUUCUUUUAUUUAUUUUUCAAAAUUAAUUAUGUAGUUUUUUAUAUAAAAUUUAUUUCAUGAAAUUUGCCUUGAUUUCUUUCCUUUUGUGAUAUUCCGAAUCUUAAUUAAAUUACUAUUCCCGCUGUUUCAAUUGUCAAAUACAU
RNAcentral lists this long non-coding RNA (698 nucleotides) under Nicotiana benthamiana. Its description in RNAcentral is "long non-coding RNA (NBEN_LNC015409)". The record is from RNAcentral. Lineage: Eukaryota; Viridiplantae; Streptophyta; Magnoliopsida; Solanales; Solanaceae.